CCCUUAGAUGUUCUGGGCCGCACGCGCGCUACACUGAUGCAUUCAACGAGUCUAAAACCUGCUCUGAUAGGGGUGGGUAAUCUUUUGAAUGUGCAUCGUGAUUGGGAUAGAUGAUUGCAAUUUUUCAUCUUCAACGAGGAAUGCCUAGUAAACGCAAGUCAUCGGCUUGCAUUGAUUACGUCCCUGCCCUUUGUACACACCGCCCGUCGCUCCUACCGAUUGAAUGAUCCGAUGAAUAUCAUGGAUUGAGGAUGUAAGCAGGUUCGCCUGUCUUCAUCUUCGAGAAGUGAAGUAAAUCUUAUCAUUUAGAGGAAGGAGAAGUCGUAACA
Molecule: ribosomal RNA, 329 nt
Filed under: uncultured eukaryote
Lineage: Eukaryota
Description: partial 18S ribosomal RNA
Rfam family: Eukaryotic small subunit ribosomal RNA
Source: RNAcentral